This 448-nucleotide ribosomal RNA is filed under the name uncultured bacterium. Its description in RNAcentral is "bacterial SSU rRNA". It matches the Rfam family "Bacterial small subunit ribosomal RNA", at positions 355 to 825 of the family's 1533-position model. The record is from RNAcentral.
UGGGGAAUAUUGGACAAUGGGCGCAAGCCUGAUCCAGCCAUGCCGCGUGAGUGACGAAGGCCUUAGGAUUGUAAAGCUCUUUUUGGCGGGGACGAUAAUGACGGUACCCGCAGAAUAAGCCCCGGCUAACUUCGUGCCAGCAGCCGCGGUAAUACGAAGGGGGCUAGCGUUGUUCGGAAUUACUGGGCGUAAAGCGCACGUAGGCGGACUGAUAAGUCAGGGGUGAAAUCCCGGGGCUCAACCUCGGAACUGCCUUUGAUACUGUUAGUCUCGAGUCCGGAAGAGGUGAGUGGAAUUCCUAGUGUAGAGGUGAAAUUCGUAGAUAUUAGGAAGAACACCAGUGGCGAAGGCGGCUCACUGGUCCGGUACUGACGCUGAGGUGCGAAAGCGUGGGGAGCAAACAGGAUUAGAUACCCUCGUAGUCCCUGAGCGGGCUGGCAAGGCGCAU